Molecule: long non-coding RNA, 1343 nt
Filed under: Cyanistes caeruleus (blue tit)
Lineage: Eukaryota; Metazoa; Chordata; Aves; Passeriformes; Paridae
Description: lncRNA (ENSCCEG00000024268.1)
Source: RNAcentral
UCAAGCAACCCUGAAGGGACCGAGGAGACUCGAGAGCCAGCCUCAAGCCUGUCCCUGACAGUGACAAGAAACACCUUGAUGAACUCUAAGCAAAGGAGCUCGGCACCAUUAACAUUCACUCCCAACGCGUGUGAGCUGUGCUGCAUCCCCAAGUGCUGCUCCUGCUGCCAGCCCUGGUACUCAACCAUGCUCAGGGGAAACCUGGCCAUCAGCUUCUCCUUCCAACAGCCUGGGCUGGGAGAGCCCCUCCACGCCCUGAAUCCACACCUGGCACCCCACAGAUCCACACCUGGCUGCCACAGCACAGCAAAGGAGGAUGGCAUCCUGAGCUCCAGCUUCUCCAGCAAAUUAAAGCCAAGGGGCUCUGGAAAGAACACCCAAGGCAGAGGAAUCACCAAGAGUUACAAGGCCAGGCUGCCUUCCCCAGCACUAGCACUGAGGCACCAUGGUUGGCACAGCCUUGUCCAUUCAGCACCGUGCCUUGGCUCUGAAUGCUCCAUAGGUGCCCCAGAAGCAGCACUAACCCACAUGUGCAGCCACUUGCUUUGUAUCUGGAGGGAUGCUGAUGGGUAGUACCAGUCCCAGGCAGGAAAAAGGGACUCUUGCAGCAUCUGCUGCCUGCUGGAUGCUGUUGAAGGCAGCAGUGGCAGCACCUACCUGUGUGCAGGCACUGAGCUCACCUGUGCCCACCACGAUGAACCAUUUCCUUCCUGAACACCCGGAUGUCCUGCCUGGGAAAUUAAAUCAGCUCUGAAUGGGAAGUGCAACCAAGCUGGCCCAACCCAGGAAGAAAAAGGGCAGCAAAAGAAAAACAAAUUCAGAAACUGGAAAAAAAAAAGUUAAAUGCUGUGUGUGCUGCUGUCCCUGUCACUGCCCCCACACCCAUAGCCAUGGUCGGGAAGGCUGGCUUGUCCCACCAAGGUGCUGCAGGAAGGGGUGGUUUUUCCUUUAGCAGGAUUCCUGUUCCAACACAGUCCUUUUCUUCCAUUUCUGGCUCUGGAGAAGGGAGCAGCUGGGUGCUGAGCCUGCCACAGCCCAGCCGUGCUGCCGGGCGAGGGCAAAGAGGCGUUAGCUGAGAAAGGGAGCCGAGCGCUUUAUUUUUAGUCUUGGUUUAACAAGUAUUAAUUAAUAAGAGUGCAAAUGCUAAUGCCGAGAAGACACAAACUGCGUUGCCUGAAAUGAAUGUUUGGGGCUUGUCUGUGCCAGGAUUUACAGCCGGGUGGGUUCACAGGGGCGAAUCAUUGCUCAAACUGCAAGGAUAAGCUGAGCCGGCUUCUUCCCACCGGGAGCGGCAUCGGCCGUGCCGCAAUGGGAUGUGCCGGGGGCUCCGGGGCCGCGCCGGG